CCUAUGAUUAACAAAAAUUUCAAUAAAUCCACAAUUAAUCUAGUAAUUCAAAUAGAGCAGUCCGACAUAUCCAAAUAAACAAAUUAGUUCAAUUACAAGAUCUUCAAAUGUUCAUCGACAUCAAAGAAGGACAAAUAAACUAACUAGCUAAUGACUCUGAUACUUGCACUCUGCGCCAAUUCCAUCCAAAUCUAAGCAUCCUGCAACUCUGAUAAAAAGAAAGAAGAAAAGGGGAUGAGCUUUACAGCCCAGUAAGAAUCCCUACACAUCCACACCAACACAAUAAUAAUAAAAAUCUGAAAACCACGACAAGUCAAAGCACAUAUCAUGAAGUCAUAAACCGGCUAUCAAAGCUCAAAUAAUCGAUACAAGUAUGUACAUCAAACAUCAAUAAAAAUACAGCCACACAAGAAAUAUAUAGCAUAUGAUAGCUCAUAAACUUGUAUUAUAGUUUCAAUGUCUUUUCUUCAACUUGAUUCGGUUUAAUUAUCUUUCCGACUUUGGGUCCAAUCUCGGUCACAUUUCUCAGCCUGUGGUGGGGCAACCAAAUUAUCACAUUUUCAGCCUGUGGCAGGGCCUGCAUAAUAUAGUUCCACACUUCUAGCCUGUGAUGGGGCCUGCCAGAGUAUCAUAUUUUGAGCCUGUGGCGGGGCCUGCACAUUAUAGUUCCACAUUUCUAGCCUGUGAGGGGGCCUACCAAAGUACCACAUUUUUCAGCCUGUGACGGGGCCUACCAUAAUAACAAGAUAACCCAAAGUCCCUUUUCAUACAAUCUAGUUUACAUCCACACAUCAAUUCCUUUAUAUUUAUUUCCGGCUUUAAACUAACCACGGUCACGUUUUCAGCCCGUGACGCGGCAACUAAUAUCAUAUGGUUAGUUUAGAGCACCACAUCCAUCAGUCCAAUUAUGUAGGUGUAAGUUAUGCGCAUGCAUGCAUCCAUCAUAAUACCAACCACAAGCGAAUACGAUCAUAAUAUCAACCACAAGCCAACACGAUCAAAAUAUAAUUUAAUAUAAAACUAAUUUUGAUUUAUCUGGAUUAUAGCAUAUCAUACAUAUCUAAGUAUAAAAAUAUUAUAUCA
Molecule: long non-coding RNA, 1083 nt
Filed under: Phoenix dactylifera (date palm)
Lineage: Eukaryota; Viridiplantae; Streptophyta; Magnoliopsida; Arecales; Arecaceae
Description: long non-coding RNA (PDAC_LNC008445)
Source: RNAcentral